GGUCGGAUGGUGUAGCUGGUUAUCACAUCUCCUUAACACGGAGAAGGUCCUGGGUUCAAACCCCAGUCUGAUCA
Molecule: transfer RNA, 74 nt
Organism: Exophiala aquamarina CBS 119918
Lineage: Eukaryota; Fungi; Ascomycota; Eurotiomycetes; Chaetothyriales; Herpotrichiellaceae
Rfam family: tRNA
About the family: Transfer RNA (tRNA) molecules are approximately 80 nucleotides in length. Their secondary structure includes four short double-helical elements and three loops (D, anti-codon, and T loops).
Source: Rfam